UGCAAGUCGAACGAAGUAGCAAUACUUAGUGGCAGACGGGUGAGUAACAUGUGGGUAUCUACCCUUUGGCCUGGAAUAACACGAGGAAACUUGUGCUAAUACCGGAUAAGUCUUUACGGAGAAAGCUUUAUGCACCAUUGGAUGAGCCCGCACUUGAUUAGUUUGUUGGUAGGGUAAUGGCCUACCAAGACUAUGAUCAAUAGCUGAUUUGAGAGGAUGAUCAGCCACAUUGGGACUGAGACACGGCCCAAACUCCUACGGGAGGCAGCAGUGGGGAAUCUUGCACAAUGGAGGAAACUCUGAUGCAGCGAUGCCGCGUGAGUGAAGAAGGCCUUUGGGUUGUAAAGCUCUUUCGUCGGGGAAGAAAAUGACUGCACCCGAAUAAGAAGGUCCGGCUAACUUCGUGCCAGCAGCCGCGGUAAUACGAAGGGACCUAGCGUAGUUCGGAAUUACUGGGCUUAAAGAGUUCGUAGGUGGUUGAAAAAGUUGGUGGUGAAAUCCCAGAGCUUAACUCUGGAACUGCCAUCAAAACUUUUCAGCUAGAGUAUGAUAGAGGAAAGCAGAAUUUCUAGUGUAGAGGUGAAAUUCGUAGAUAUUA
This 598-nucleotide ribosomal RNA is filed under the name uncultured bacterium. RNAcentral describes it as "bacterial SSU rRNA". It matches the Rfam family "Bacterial small subunit ribosomal RNA", at positions 56 to 699 of the family's 1533-position model. The record is from RNAcentral.